CCUCCCCCUAGAGGCCUUGCACGUGUGGCUGUGGUCUCACAUGUGUGUUAUUACAUUAGGGGGAAAGAGAGGAGAGAAGCUAUGUCUACAUACAAUGUUCUGUCAUAUGAAUAUCUGAGUGAUUGAUAGCACAACAUU
Small nucleolar RNA from Arvicanthis niloticus (Nile rat), 138 nucleotides. RefSeq annotates it as small nucleolar RNA SNORA17. The record is from RefSeq and is a predicted model, not a curated record. Lineage: Eukaryota; Metazoa; Chordata; Mammalia; Rodentia; Muridae.